AGAGUUUGAUCCUGGCUCAAGAACGAACGCUGGCGGCAUGCCUAACACAUGCAAGUCGAACGAGACCUUCGGGUCUAGUGGCGCACGGGUGCGUAACGCGUGGGAAUCUGCCCUUGGGUUCGGAAUAACAGCGAGAAAUUGCUGCUAAUACCGGAUGAUGACGUAAGUCCAAAGAUUUAUCGCCCAAGGAUGAGCCCGCGUAGGAUUAGCUAGUUGGUGAGGUAAAGGCUCACCAAGGCGACGAUCCUUAGCUGGUCUGAGAGGAUGAUCAGCCACACUGGGACUGAGACACGGCCCAGACUCCUACGGGAGGCAGCAGUGGGGAAUAUUGGACAAUGGGCGAAAGCCUGAUCCAGCAAUGCCGCGUGAGUGAUGAAGGCCUUAGGGUUGUAAAGCUCUUUUACCCGGGAUGAUAAUGACAGUACCGGGAGAAUAAGCUCCGGCUAACUCCGUG
This 454-nucleotide ribosomal RNA is filed under the name uncultured bacterium. RNAcentral describes it as "bacterial SSU rRNA". It matches the Rfam family "Bacterial small subunit ribosomal RNA", at positions 8 to 507 of the family's 1533-position model. The record is from RNAcentral.